AUUGGCCUUAGAGGCAUUGCAGGUGUGUCUGUUGUGUCACAUUGCAUCAGUAGGUGGCAGAGAGAAGCUUUGUCUAUGUCCUACUUGUGAAUAGCCUAACACU
RNAcentral lists this small nucleolar RNA (103 nucleotides) under Mus spicilegus (steppe mouse). Its description in RNAcentral is "Small nucleolar RNA SNORA17 (ENSMSIG00000030254.1)". It matches the Rfam family "Small nucleolar RNA SNORA17". Rfam says of the family: snoRNA ACA 17 belongs to the H/ACA family of snoRNAs and is predicted to guide pseudouridylation of the 28S rRNA at positions U4659 and U4598. It shares the same host gene together with ACA43. The record is from Rfam by way of RNAcentral. Lineage: Eukaryota; Metazoa; Chordata; Mammalia; Rodentia; Muridae.